GAGUUUGAUCCUGGCUCAGAUUGAACGCUGGCGGCAGGCCUAACACAUGCAAGUCGAGCGGAUGAAGAGAGCUUGCUCUCUGAUUCAGCGGCGGACGGGUGAGUAAUGCCUAGGAAUCUGCCUGAUAGUGGGGGACAACGUUUCGAAAGGAACGCUAAUACCGCAUACGUCCUACGGGAGAAAGCAGGGGACCUUCGGGCCUUGCGCUAUCAGAUGAGCCUAGGUCGGAUUAGCUAGUUGGUGAGGUAAUGGCUCACCAAGGCGACGAUCCGUAACUGGUCUGAGAGGAUGAUCAGUCACACUGGAACUGAGACACGGUCCAGACUCCUACGGGAGGCAGCAGUGGGGAAUAUUGGACAAUGGGCGAAAGCCUGAUCCAGCCAUGCCGCGUGUGUGAAGAAGGUCUUCGGAUUGUAAAGCACUUUAAGUUGGGAGGAAGGGCAUUAACCUAAUACGUUAGUGUUUUGACGUUACCGACAGAAUAAGCACCGGCUAACUUCGUGCCAGCAGCCGCGGUAAUACGAAGGGUGCAAGCGUUAAUCGGAAUUACUGGGCGUAAAGCGCGCGUAGGUGGUUUGUUAAGUUGAAUGUGAAAGCCCCGGGCUCAACCUGGGAACUGCAUCCAAAACUGGCAAGCUAGAGUAUGGCAGAGGGUGGUGGAAUUUCCUGUGUAGCGGUGAAAUGCGUAGAUAUAGGAAGGAACACCAGUGGCGAAGGCGACCACCUGGGCUAAUACUGACACUGAGGUGCGAAAG
This 755-nucleotide ribosomal RNA is filed under the name uncultured bacterium. Its description in RNAcentral is "bacterial SSU rRNA". It matches the Rfam family "Bacterial small subunit ribosomal RNA", at positions 9 to 759 of the family's 1533-position model. The record is from RNAcentral.